AAAAAUAAACGUUAUUGUCAAACAUCUUAGUGGUAUUUAGAUUAAAUGUAAAAAUUUUAUGUUUACAUCUAAAAUAUUCAGAUGGAGUUUAAAAUUGAACAUACAUGGAACGGCUUUCCAGUGUCUCAUGAUCCUGUAACAAUCAGGCUGGCUCCUGCCAAUGCAGGAAUGUUCAUCAGUGUAACGGCUCCAUUUUAUAAUGAUCCUCCAGCUCCUCCCAGUGAUCCAGGAAAGCCAUUAAAUGGAUUGUGGGAUUAUGAGGUUGUAGAAGCUUUCUUCCUGAAUGGCCAGACUGAGCAGUAUUUAGAAGUGGAGCUCUGUCCGCAUGGGCAGUAUCUCAUUUUGUUGCUUUGUGGCAGAAGGAAAGUAUUAAAACAAGAGCUUCCUUUAAAAUUCGAUGUAUCAAGAACAAGUGCUCAGUGGAAUGGCAGAGUUCAUCUUCCUUGGAGCUAUCUUCCACCAGCUACUGACCAAUUUAAUGCUUUUGCAAUCCAUGGGUCAGGUGAAGCUAGAACGUAUGAAGCCCUCUAUCCUGUACCUCAACAUGAGCUGCAGAAGAUUCAGCAACCUGAUUUUCAUCGUCUAGAAUAUUUUAAAUGCUUGAACUUGAAAACAUUAAUGGGAGAAGGUUGGAAGCAGCCGGUAUCGGUUUUCUGGACACCAUCCAAACAGACCAGCUAGGUAAAAAGAUAGUCUUCAUAUAAAAGUAAAAUUUUGCAGAUCAAGGAUUUCUAUUGCAAGAAUGUUCAUGUUAACAGAAAGACUUAAAAGGUUGCCAAAAGAAGUGAAGGAACUUUUACAGCUCUGCCCACUACAUGUCCCUCUCUGGGCCUGGAAUUCUUCAUUUCCAGGAGCAGAAAGAUGGAUGCUCCUCAGCCUUCCAGCAUAGCCACCACAUCUGUCUAGCCUGUGAACCAGACUUGACAUCAUUCCAGCCUGCCUGGGGCCCAGAAGGAACUGGAUUUUUAUCCCUUAUGUGCAAGAAAGACCAUUCCAAUUCAAAUGGAUAUUGCUGUGUCAUAUUAAUAUUCUAGGGUUACAUUGCAAUAUCACAUUCCAGGGGUGCAUGGCUUGGGACUCAGUACAGGGGUGUCUUUCUGGAUAUCAUGUUUUGGUAUGGAUUAAAAAUAAUGCAUGUGCAGUGUUUUGAACAAUGAAAGUACUAGAUAAAAUCAUUAUUAAUAAUAUAAUCAGGUGACUUCAAAUCCAUUGUAGCUGUUGACCAUUGGAUUUUAAAUAUCAAGUGCUCUAGUUCUUUAAAUUGUACUGUCUAGCUGGUAAGUUUUACUGACAUCCAGUUAACUAGCUGAACAAUGUUUUUUUUCCAUCACCUGCUAUUAUGUUUCUUCUUACACCUACAGUAAACAGAUGCUUUUCCUCUUUAGAAAUUCAAGACCUGGAGAUGGUCACAACUGUAGACCAUCUAUUCAUUAGGGACAAAAAAUAGUUUGAUUUUUCUAUAAAAUCUCAUUUAAUUAGAAAAUAAUAUUGUGAACAUAUAAUUACUUUAGCAUGAAGUUAAUUAUUGAACUGUUAAUAUUUUGUAAGCAAAGAAUAAUCUGUUGUCUGUUCACUGAAUGUAUCAAACAGGUUUUCUUUUCUCACAUUAAACUGAUCUUGCUUUACUGCAAAGGAAUAAUAAAUACAAAAGUAUUGAUUCA
This is an RNA transcript of Heteronotia binoei (common prickly gecko), 1661 nucleotides long. It is a transcript of the gene named UPF0462 protein C4orf33-like, with no coding region annotated. The transcript has 7 exons. The record is from RefSeq and is a predicted model, not a curated record. NCBI's taxonomy places the organism in Eukaryota, Metazoa, Chordata, Lepidosauria, Squamata, Gekkonidae.